RNAcentral lists this ribosomal RNA (571 nucleotides) under Penicillium paneum. RNAcentral's name for it is "partial 28S ribosomal RNA". It matches the Rfam family "Eukaryotic large subunit ribosomal RNA", at positions 62 to 648 of the family's 3401-position model. Lineage: Eukaryota; Fungi; Ascomycota; Eurotiomycetes; Eurotiales; Aspergillaceae. RNAcentral also lists the same sequence under 1 other name. The record is from RNAcentral.
AAACCAACAGGGAUUGCCCCAGUAACGGCGAGUGAAGCGGCAAGAGCUCAAAUUUGAAAGCUGGCUCCUUCGGGGUCCGCAUUGUAAUUUGCAGAGGAUGCUUCGGGAGCGGUCCCCAUCUAAGUGCCCUGGAACGGGACGUCAUAGAGGGUGAGAAUCCCGUAUGGGAUGGGGUGUCCGCGCCCGUGUGAAGCUCCUUCGACGAGUCGAGUUGUUUGGGAAUGCAGCUCUAAAUGGGUGGUAAAUUUCAUCUAAAGCUAAAUAUUGGCCGGAGACCGAUAGCGCACAAGUAGAGUGAUCGAAAGAUGAAAAGCACUUUGAAAAGAGAGUUAAAAAGCACGUGAAAUUGUUGAAAGGGAAGCGCUUGCGACCAGACUCGCUCGCGGGGUUCAGCCGGCAUUCGUGCCGGUGUAUUUCCCCGCGGGCGGGCCAGCGUCGGUUUGGGCGGUCGGUCAAAGGCCCUCGGAAGGUAACGCCCCUAGGGGCGUCUUAUAGCCGAGGGUGCAAUGCGACCUGCCUAGACCGAGGAACGCGCUUCGGCUCGGACGCUGGCAUAAUGGUCGUAAGCGAC